Long non-coding RNA from Suricata suricatta (meerkat), 560 nucleotides. RefSeq lists it as uncharacterized. Lineage: Eukaryota; Metazoa; Chordata; Mammalia; Carnivora; Herpestidae. The record is from RefSeq and is a predicted model, not a curated record. The transcript is spliced from 3 exons.
CCCUAACAGUGGCAAUAGCUAGCACACCUUUGGAAUUCUCCCCAACAAUUCCUAACCUAAUCCUGCAUAAGAAUUAAAGCGCCAACCAAGAAAAAGCAGAAGUUGAAAGAGAGGCGGGGCUGGGGAACAGGAGGUCGGGUGGUGCAGAGACUCCGAAGGUUGUUGACAUUGCACCUUCAAGCAACCACAUACACACUAUGCAGAAAUCCCUGCCAUCACUGUCCUGUGGCCUGACCACACAGCAUUACUUUUGGAGAAGAAAGUCCAUGCAGCCUAUGGCCCGAAGGUGAACUGUGGCAUCUGCCCAUCUCCAUGCUGUGAGGACACAAUCUGCGAAAGGGCACACACCCAGCUGAGGCCAACUUGACUUUCAGUGAGUCUCUUGGCCUAGCACAUCUGUGUUAGCGGCUCUGAGGCUCAGCCGGUUCUCCAAAGGUGGCUCUGCAUACAUGAGGCAGCCGUACAAAAUCUGCAUAAAAAUUGUGAAUUGUCAGGGACCCACAGUUCCUGAAUCAAUCUGACUUUUGGCCAAUAAAAUUUACAUUUCUUUAAGAAAAUAA